ACCAGAUAUUAAAAGAUCAUCUUGUUAUAACCUUUUGUACUGAUUUUCCGCUGCAAAGCUAUAAAAUAGGCAAUAGUGAUAACACAGUUCUAUAUAAGGAAACAUCAGUUUGUUUAUCAAUCUCUAUGUAAUCAUCAGUGCAUACAUCAAUAUUGCAAAUUUAUUUCCAAUGAAUAAAAUUUAAAAACAUUAUAAAUAAAAAGAUAGUAUGCCUAAUCUAGGUGUAGCUGCAAUCAUCGUCUGCAGUUUACUUAAAGUCAGUUCAGCGGGUGACAUACUUGUGCAAACAAAUGAAGAUCAAUGCACAGCCUUCACCUCGUGCACAUCAUGUAUUACCCAAGGAGUAUGUACUUGGUGCAUUACAAAGAGUCUUUGCACUCGACAGCAGUGCGGCAAUGACAACAUUAUAUAUCCGAAGAAUUCACAGGCUCUGUUAACUGGAGCAGAAUUCUGCCCACGGAUAGUUGAAUCGCCUGAACGCAUCUUCAAACAUAGCCAAGUACAUAUAUUUGUUGUGAAAUUAACACAAAUCUAUGUUUACAUGGCUUUCACGCCUUGGCAGUGUAAGAUUCGUGUUGGUGAUCAAGAUUUUGAGAUAAAAGGGAUAUUGUUAGGUGAUUCCGUUUACUGUGAUGCAUUUGAAAUGAAAAACGAAUCCGACAAAGCUUAUGUAGAAGGUAAUGUGAAAGUUUUAUGGAACUUUAAGAAGGCUUUCGAUGGAUCUAUUUCAUUUAAAAUAUGCCGAUGUGAUUUAGAACCAAAUUGUUUAGCUUGCACCAAAAAUAAAUCAAAAUAAUAUUUAACUAUAUACUUAUUAAAUGUUCAAACAAAAGCAUGUUUUGAGAUCUAAGACUUUAACGAGUAUUCAUUCAAAUUAAACUAAUAUUUUCGGUUACUUUAUACUAACUAAUAUUUCGGAUACAGACGAUAUCUCGUCUGUCCGUGAUCACGGCUGCUGCAAAGUAACCGAAACGUCGAGAGAAUGUAGUUUUUAAAAAUAAUAAAAUAUGCGUAGUCAUCCGUACUAUCAAUAAAAUACUAUUCGGCUAAUCUUACUGUAUCUAGAAUGCGUCAUAAUUUAUUAAAUAAUUGAUAUGAUGAGACAAAAUGACAAUCAUGUAUUAUUUGUUGAUUUAUUACUUUAAUUUACUGCAGUAUAUUUCAUUGAAAUGAGUAUCUAAAUAUUGAAAUAUAAAAACAAGUUGUUUUUUCAAUGAUUAUUCUUUUCGUAAUUAAAAUAAUUUGAUGUAAAUACGUACAAGUUUUAUUUUUAAUCCAAAUGUUUAUACAUAAAAUAUCACUGAAUAUUAAGUAUAAGAAACGUGUUAAUAUAUAAAAUGUGCCUGUAUAUGCAUUUGGGUUUUAUGUUGCAUAUGUUUUUAAACCAUGUUUACAUAUUACGAAAUGUCAUUCAAGUUAUGUGAUUUGAAAAUGGAUUUAAUAUUAUUGUUUACUUGAUUCUUGGCAUACAGUUUUAGAUGCAAUUAGAAAUAUAUAAAAAGUAAACUGAAAAUAUUUUAAUACAAGCCUUUAUUAACAACACGCUAAAGAGUAAAUUAAUUACAACAUUUCUAUUACUUAACAAUUUAUGACUUAAUUUACGUUUUUAAAUAUAUAUUUUAAAAACUGGCCUAAGCAUAAUAUUAACAUAAUAAAAAAGUGAAUAAUAAAUGACAAUUAUCUUAAUCUCAUUCAUUUCAUGAAAAUGUAUUAUCUACCUAUUGUGUAUUCAAAGCUUUUUUCUUUUUUUUUUUGUAAAUAAUAUCCACAUGCGUCGGUUUAAAAAAAAAUGAAAACACUAGUUUUUUGAGCAAAGGUAUAUCAAGUAAGGUUUUAUGAACAAAAAUAUUACCCAACAGGCUGUUGCCUGACAAGCUUCCAUAACAUGAGACUACAAGUUUCAUGAAUUAAUACGAACAAGCGACACGAGGCUCGUUCAUGUUUCUUUUAUAAUCGCAUUACAGAGUGAUUGAACUUUAAACUGCUAUGGAAGUUCCAUCCCUAGGGCGGAAUUGAAAAAUUAGAAGCAUAUAUUCAGGGUAACCACAUUGUGGUGCAAUUUUACAUAUUUUAUGAUAUACAAUAAUGUUAUGACUAUACAAUUGUUGCAAUUUGAAAAUGGAACGUGUUGGUUUUAACCAAUGUGGAUUUGAUAUUCAUUUUAUCCUGUUAUAUUUUCGAUUCCUUUUUCAAACUACAAAUAUAUUAUCCCGAAAUUGUUCGAGUCUUGCUCUGUUCAGGUUAUAAUAGUCUAGUAAUAACAUUUAUGAGAAAAAUGUUUUUAAUUAGUGUUUCAAAUCAUGAAUCCUAUUAUUUUUAGAGGACACGAUAAGGUGUAUGUUAAAAUGUUAAGAUUUUUUUAUCUAUUUUACAUCAAAAUACUACAUAAGAAUUUAUUCUUGAUGUUUAAUAUUGCAUCAAAUACAAUGGUAUUGCUAUUGAUACAUUCAGUUAGCCAUCAAGAAUUUUAUGUAAAUAAAACAUGGGUUUCCAACGAAGAAAUAUAUUUGAUGUAAAAAUUUUUUUUUAAUAUAUAAAGCGGGAUAACUUUUUCUACUUGCUUUAUUUUCUUUAUAAGAUAUAUGGUUUCCAUUUAUUCAAUCAUAAUUUUAAUAAACAUGUACUCUGCUAA
Molecule: long non-coding RNA, 2632 nt
Organism: Danaus plexippus (monarch butterfly)
Lineage: Eukaryota; Metazoa; Arthropoda; Insecta; Lepidoptera; Nymphalidae
Exons: 2
Source: RefSeq, a predicted model, not a curated record